GAUAAGGAGCUGAGAAACCUCUUUGAAAAACUGGAGACAGAAACAUGUGAGACAGUAGACAUCACAAACAGUUUUGACAUUACAGACGUGCAUCAACAACGUGAUGCUGCUGAAUGCCUGGAAAUGAUUUUACACAAAGUCAGCCCACAGGCCUCCCAGGUUUUCAAAGGACAGCUGAAAUACUCGACAACAUGCUCCAAAGGCCACAACCUCAACACAGAGACGAAUCCAUUUCUGACUCUUCCACUGUCACUGAAGGAUGCUAACAA
Labrus bergylta (ballan wrasse) is the source of this 269-nucleotide long non-coding RNA. RefSeq lists it as uncharacterized. The record is from RefSeq and is a predicted model, not a curated record. NCBI's taxonomy places the organism in Eukaryota, Metazoa, Chordata, Actinopteri, Labriformes, Labridae.